RNAcentral lists this ribosomal RNA (460 nucleotides) under uncultured bacterium. RNAcentral describes it as "partial 16S ribosomal RNA". It matches the Rfam family "Bacterial small subunit ribosomal RNA", at positions 338 to 795 of the family's 1533-position model. The record is from RNAcentral.
CCUACGGGUGGCAGCAGUGAGGAAUAUUGGUCAAUGGCCGUAAGGCUGAACCAGCCAAGUCGCGUGAAGGAAGAAGGAUCUAUGGUUUGUAAACUUCGUUUAUAGGGGAAUAAAGGUAUCCACGUGUGGAUAUUUGCAUUUACCCUAUGAAUAAGCAUCGGCUAACUCAGUGCCAGCAGACGCGGUAAUACGGAGGAUGCGAGCGUUAUCCGGAUUUAUUGGGUUUAAAGGGUGCGGAGGUUGUUUUUUAAGUCAGCGGUGAAAGUUUAUGGCUCAACCAUAAAAUUGCCGUUGAAACUGGAAGACUUGAGUGUGUUUGAGGUAGGUGGAAUGCGUGGUGUAGCGGUGAAAUGCAUAGAUAUCACGCAGAACUCCGAUUGCGAAGGCAGCUUACUAAGCCAUAACUGACACUGAAGCACGAAAGCGUGGGGAGCAAACAGGAUUAGAUACCCUAGUAGUC